UGGGGGAGGGGUUUUGUGGGGUUUGGGGCCCCCUGAUGGAGAACAUUGUGGGGAAAACAAGCGCGUGUCCCCCCCCCGCGCCCCAUUCCUGAGGUGAUUUUUGUGUGAAAAGCCAUAAAACUGACUUUUUUUUGAGAGGGAGGGAGGUCUUGGGGAGACGGCUCGAUAAAGGUAAAAAUGGGGCUGGUGGAUUGCAGGGUUUCACCCCAGAAAGGGUGGAAAAUUGUGAGGGGGUUCAUGGGUCCUUUGCCUGCGGGAUCAAAAAGGGGGGGGGGGAAACAAGCUGAAAAGCUGCAAUUUUUACUUUAGGUAUUUUUUUUAAAGUGUUCCCUUCGUUCUACGUGUAGUUCUGUGCUGAAAUCGGUGUUUUCUGGUGCCGAAAAGAAAGGAAAAAUAGGCUUAAAAUUGCGGGCAGAGCUGUCCGACCCUGAAGGAGACAAAAUGGCUGCCGGGGGGAGGGGGCCUCUUCUGGGCUCAUUGUGCAGCUUUUUGGUGCAAUCCCUGAAAGAAAAUCAGCGUUUCCACUCAGGAAACGCCCUGGAAACACGGCGGAAAAACUCGUCCGUUGCCCAGUGACCGCCCGCGUCAUCGCCUCGUCAGCCGCAUUAAUUGGCCCUAAUUACUGGUUUCCCACAUUUUUUGGGGGGGUGUCCUCACUAGCAGCGAUUUUGGGGUGUCAUUACCUGCGACAUGGGAGCGGGGGCUGCCCGGAAAUGCCUCAAAAUGCCGCAAACAGGGAUUUUUUUUUUGCUUAAAAAUGGCCAGCAUGGCUGAGGCUGCGCAAUGACUCAGCAUGGCCUUGAAAUUGUAGAAAAUGAGGAGAUUUGGGGGUAUUUUAAUGAAAAAAAUACAUUAAGAGGCUUCGUGCUUUGAUGGGAAGCGGGGUGGGGAUGAAAAAGGUUUGUCUGAGCUUUGUCGAAAGGGGGGAAUUAAAAAGGGGG
RNAcentral lists this long non-coding RNA (941 nucleotides) under Anser cygnoides (Swan goose). RNAcentral's name for it is "lncRNA (ENSACDG00005008475.1)". The record is from RNAcentral. Lineage: Eukaryota; Metazoa; Chordata; Aves; Anseriformes; Anatidae.